GUUGUACCCUCUUUCUCUCACCAUUCUCUCCAUUUCCAUACCCUGUUUCUCUCACCAUUUUGUCCGUUUCAGGUACAAGGUAAAAACAAAAUCAAAAUCAGUUUUUACUUCUCUUUUAAAACCCUAGAUGAAUGACCUUCAAAUGUGUCACCGAUUUGUACACUGUAGCCACCAGCACCAACCCUAAGUUGAUCGCCUAUGAAGAACGUUACCUGCUUCAGCCUUCUAGAUUCAUGGUGGUUCUAGGGCGGCGUCGCGUAAAUUAAUACCGAGUGUCGUUUGAUGGUUACCCCAAAAUCAUCGAUGAAAUUGCAGGUUUCAGUAGGCAUAAUAUCAGAUCUCCAAAGCAAUCGUUUCUCUUCACUGCUGUAAUUCGAUCAAUACUAUUAUAAUUGUUAUGCCCCUUGCCUUGCUAACAUCAAAGACAUGGCCUUUUGUUGUGGGCAUCAGGUGGAAAGCUUUUUAAAUUGUGCUGAUUUAAAGUGGAGAGCAUGAUUAAUGAAGAAGCUGAAAAGAUAGUCUUUUAAAAGCUGCUGACAAUGAAGAACAGGUAGGUUGAACCCAAAAUAGGCCCUCGUCCAUCUUUUGCACAACUUGUCUACAUAUCACUCUACGUGUUAGUAUGCUAAGUUAUGAUAAAUUUUAAACAGCACAACAUUUUGUAUAGCUUAGUUUUGUACAACUUUCAUAUAUAAGUUAAUUAGGCGAUGUAGCUAUGGAACAUCGGUGUAACAAAUACUUGGUUUUAUUUAGUACGGCUAUGAAUGAAUGCCCGCCACAUUGCGGCGGGUGAUAAAUCCUAGU
This 804-nucleotide long non-coding RNA is filed under the name Helianthus annuus (common sunflower). RNAcentral's name for it is "sRNA HanXRQr2_Chr08g0340171". The record is from RNAcentral. Lineage: Eukaryota; Viridiplantae; Streptophyta; Magnoliopsida; Asterales; Asteraceae.